Molecule: ribosomal RNA, 468 nt
Filed under: uncultured bacterium
Lineage: Bacteria
Description: partial 16S ribosomal RNA
Rfam family: Bacterial small subunit ribosomal RNA
Source: RNAcentral
GACGAACGCUGGCGGCGUGCUUAACACAUGCAAGUCGAACGGAAAGGCCCUGCUUUUGUGGGGUGCUCGAGUGGCGAACGGGUGAGUAACACGUGAGUAACCUGCCCUUGACUUUGGGAUAACUUCAGGAAACUGGGGCUAAUACCGGAUAGGAGCUCCUGCUGCAUGGUGGGGGUUGGAAAGUUUCGGCGGUUGGGGCUGGACUCGCGGCUUAUCAGCUUGUUGGUGGGGUAGUGGCUUACCAAGGCUUUGACGGGUAGCCGGCCUGAGAGGGUGAACGGCCACAUUGGGACUGAGAUACGGCCCAGACUCCUACGGGAGGCAGCAGUGGGGAAUAUUGCACAAUGGGCGGAAGCCUGAUGCAGCAACGCCGCGUGCGGGAUGACGGCCUUCGGGUUGUAAACCGCUUUCGCCUGUGACGAAGCGUGAGUGACGGUAAUGGGUAAAGAAGCACCGGCUAACUACGUG